GGGAGCUUCAAGAAGGGAUUUUCAUCAUCAAUGUGAAGGUAAGUUAUCCCCACUUAUUUUGAGUUAAGUACAUCAAUUAUGUAUGGAUUUGAGCAUGAAAAUUGUAGAAAAAUUGAGGAUUUAGGCCUAAAGAUUUGAAAAUAAGUUUUGGUGAUUUGAGGGGUCAAAUGAGCUCCUAUUUUGGUAAAUUUUAUAUGUACGGACUCGUGGUGAGACGAGGAAUCCGGUGAUGUGACUUUCGUAAUUUUUCGAGAAGUGGGCCUGGGGCUCGGGUUUUGCAAAUUUAGUGAUUUUCGAUAUUUUUCGAGUCUUUUCGAUUGGGUUAUAUUCCCUUAACCUAUUGUAAUAUAUUCCUUGUGGUUUUGGCAAGAUUCGACGCGCGAGGAGGUCGAUUCAAAAGGAAAGGGCAUCGCGGAGUUGACUUUUGGCCGUCUUGAGGUGAGUAAUAGAUGUAAAUGUUGUUCUGAGGGUUUGAAAUCCCGGACUUUCACAUCGUAACGCUAUAUUGAGGCGUGACACGCACUCUAUGGCGAGUGCGGGGUCGGAUACUAUUGGGGAUUGUGACUUGGUCCAUCCCGUGUGAUGUUUAUACUAUACUGGUGAUUGAUACACAUACUUCACUGAUAUUACUGGGCUUGAUGCCAUGUUUGGGGCCUUGUGCCGAUUUGUAAAAUCCUUCGAGGAUUGAUAUUACUACUUAGCAUGAUUUGCAUAUCAUUUAAUUUCAGUCCAAGGUUUUAAAUGUUGUUUUGCAAACUCAGCCAUAAUUCUAAGUGUUGAAAACUUAAAUGAUAUUUUUAAAUGUAUUCCGGGCUGGGAACUUCUAUUUUGUAAAUGCCCAAGGGGCUUAUUAUAUUAUUUUUUGGACUGAUUAUAAAGUGACUUGAAACAGUGGUAACAAUGACACUGUGUGAUAUACUUGAAACAGUGGUAACAAUGACACUGUGUGAUAUACUUGAAACAGUGGUAACAAUGACACUGGAUAAUAUACUUGAACAGUGGUAACAAUGGCACUGUAUGAUAUAAAUUGGUCAGGUAACAAUGGCUGACCGGUCAGGUAACAAUGACUGACCAAGAUAUUGCGCUUGGGCUGUAGGAGCCUCUCCAGAUUCUGUACACACCCCCAGUGAGCGCCGUCGACGAUAAAUAAAUAUGGAUGGCUCGGGCUGCACGCCGCAGUGGGUACUGGAAUGUACCAUCAUAUGCAUUGCAUUGCAUUCAUGUAUUUCUAUUUAUACUGUUGUUUAGCUGCUCAGUUCCAUAUGUUGUUGUAUAUUUGGAUUUUAGCUUACUUUGUGUAUUUACUGGAUUUUCUUAUCUUCGAACUGUAGUUACUUUUAUUACUCACUUGGUCGGAGUACUCACUUUACUCCCUGCACCUUGUGUAUAGAUCCAGGGCAGUCUCAGGCUCAGUAGAUCUAGUUGAUCAGCAAAUCCAGCUUCUGGGAGUAUCGAGGUAGCUGCACGGCGUUCGCAGCCAUUGAUCUUCUCCCUCCUAUCCUAUCUCUUUAUUUUCGCAUUAUCAGACUUUGGAUAUACCAUGUAUUAGGAUGAUAUUCUGUAUUCUAGAGGCUCAGAUUCGUGACACCGGGUCCUAAUUAGAUUAUAUUGUGUAUUUUGUUAAAAUCUUCAGUACUUUAAUCUUGCUUAAUUGAUAUUUCUU
Molecule: long non-coding RNA, 1663 nt
Filed under: Nicotiana tabacum (common tobacco)
Lineage: Eukaryota; Viridiplantae; Streptophyta; Magnoliopsida; Solanales; Solanaceae
Description: long non-coding RNA (NTAB_LNC014403)
Source: RNAcentral